Molecule: ribosomal RNA, 472 nt
Filed under: Fusarium sp. 79 MMH-2011
Lineage: Eukaryota; Fungi; Ascomycota; Sordariomycetes; Hypocreales; Nectriaceae
Description: eukaryotic LSU rRNA
Rfam family: 5.8S ribosomal RNA (bases 124-277)
Source: RNAcentral
UGUGGAAGACCUAUUCGUUGCCGGAGCAGAUCAGCCCGCGCCCCGUGGAAGGGACGGCCCGCCCGAGGACCCCUAAACUCUGUUUUUAGUGGAACUUCUGAGUAAAACAAACAAAUAAAUCAAAACUUUCAACAACGGAUCUCUUGGUUCUGGCAUCGAUGAAGAACGCAGCAAAAUGCGAUAAGUAAUGUGAAUUGCAGAAUUCAGUGAAUCAUCGAAUCUUUGAACGCACAUUGCGCCCGCCAGUAUUCUGGCGGGCAUGCCUGUUCGAGCGUCAUUUCAACCCUCAAGCUCAGCUUGGUGUUGGGACUCGCGGUAACCCGCGUUCCCCAAAUCGAUUGGCGGUCACGUCGAGCUUCCAUAGCGUAGUAAUCAUACACCUCGUUACUGGUAAUCGUCGCGGCCACGCCGUAAAACCCCAACUUCUGAAUGUUGACCUCGGAUCAGGUAGGAAUACCCGCUGAACUUAAGC